This 253-nucleotide ribosomal RNA is filed under the name uncultured bacterium. RNAcentral describes it as "partial 16S ribosomal RNA". It matches the Rfam family "Bacterial small subunit ribosomal RNA", at positions 524 to 776 of the family's 1533-position model. The record is from RNAcentral.
UACGUAGAGUCCAAGCGUUAUCCGGAAUCACUGGGCGUAGAGCGUGCGUAGGUGGCGUGUUAAGUGUGAUGUUAAAUCGUGUGGCUCAACCAUAUCGAUGUGUCGCAUACUGGCAUGCUAGAGGACAGCAGAGGCAAGUGGAAUUUGUAGUGUAGCAGUGAAAUGCGUAGAUAUUACAAGGAACACCAAUGGCGAAGGCAGCUUGCUGGGCUACUCCUGACACUGAGGUACGAAAGCGUGGGGAGCGAACAGG